CAGCCGCCACGGUAAUACGUAGGUGGCGAGCGUUGUCCGGAAUCAUUGGGCGUAAAGGGAGCGCAGGCGGGCAUGUAAGUCUUUCUUAAAAGUGCGGGGCUCAACCCCGUGAUGGGAAAGAAACUAUGUGUCUUGAGUACAGGAGAGGAAAGCGGAAUUCCCAGUGUAGCGGUGAAAUGCGUAGAUAUUGGGAGGAACACCAGUGGCGAAGGCGGCUUCCUGGACUGCAACUGACGCUGAGGCUCGAAAGCCAGGGGAGCGAACGGGAUUAGAUACCCGAGUAGUCCCUGUCUCUUAUACA
Molecule: ribosomal RNA, 301 nt
Filed under: uncultured bacterium
Lineage: Bacteria
Description: partial 16S ribosomal RNA
Rfam family: Bacterial small subunit ribosomal RNA
Source: RNAcentral